CUGAGGACUGGUGCAGAGUAGAA
Molecule: non-coding RNA, 23 nt
Filed under: Cricetulus griseus (Chinese hamster)
Lineage: Eukaryota; Metazoa; Chordata; Mammalia; Rodentia; Cricetidae
Source: RNAcentral